GGGCCUUUAGCUCAGUUGGUUAGAGCGCGUCCCUGAUAAGGACGAGGUCACUGGUUCAAGUCCAGUAAGGCCCACCA
RNAcentral lists this transfer RNA (77 nucleotides) under Propionibacterium sp. RNAcentral describes it as "tRNA-Ile". It matches the Rfam family "tRNA". From Rfam's summary of the family: Transfer RNA (tRNA) molecules are approximately 80 nucleotides in length. Their secondary structure includes four short double-helical elements and three loops (D, anti-codon, and T loops). Further hydrogen bonds mediate the characteristic L-shaped molecular structure. tRNAs have two regions of fundamental functional importance: the anti-codon, which is responsible for specific mRNA codon recognition, and the 3' end, to which the tRNAs corresponding amino acid is attached (by aminoacyl-tRNA synthetases). tRNAs cope with the degeneracy of the genetic code in two manners: having more than one tRNA (with a specific anti-codon) for a particular amino acid; and 'wobble' base-pairing, i.e. permitting non-standard base-pairing at the 3rd anti-codon position. Lineage: Bacteria; Bacillati; Actinomycetota; Actinomycetes; Propionibacteriales; Propionibacteriaceae. The record is from RNAcentral. RNAcentral also lists the same sequence under 1 other name.